UACAGAGGGUGCAAGCGUUUGUUCGGAAUUAUUGGGCGUAAAGCGCGUGUAGGCGGCUUUGUACGUCGGGUGUGAAAGCCCUCGCUUAACCGAGGAAGUGACGCCCGAAACUGCAGAGCUUGAGUGCCGGAGAGGAUAGCGGAACACCCGGUGUAGCGGUGAAAUGCGUAGAUAUCGGGUAGAACACCAGUGGCGAAGGCGGCUAUCUGGACGGACACGUGACGCUGAGACGCGAAAGCGUGGGAGCAACAGGG
RNAcentral lists this ribosomal RNA (254 nucleotides) under uncultured bacterium. RNAcentral describes it as "partial 16S ribosomal RNA". It matches the Rfam family "Bacterial small subunit ribosomal RNA", at positions 524 to 776 of the family's 1533-position model. The record is from RNAcentral.